Molecule: ribosomal RNA, 2262 nt
Filed under: human gut metagenome
Description: bacterial LSU rRNA
Rfam family: Bacterial large subunit ribosomal RNA
Source: RNAcentral
CGAAGCGAUUCCCUGAGUAGUGGCGAGCGAAAGGGGAGCAGCCCAAACCGUGGGGAUUAAUCCUUGCGGGGUUAGGACUCAGACGUGGACUUAUAUUAGAUAGAAGAACGGUGUGGAAAAGCCGGCCAAAGAGGGUGAGAGUCCCGUAUUUGAAAUUUAAUAUAUACCUAUGAGUAUCCAGAGUAGCACCGGACACGUGAAACCUGGUGUGAAAGAGUGCAGACCACUGCAUAAGGCUAAAUACAAGGUGUCGACCGAUAGUGAACAAGUACCGUGAGGGAAAGGUGAAAAGGACCCCUGUUAGGGGAGUUAAAAGUACCUGAAACCUGUUGCCUACAAGCGGUCAGAGCCCCUUAGUGGGGUGAUGGCGUACCUUUUGCAUAAUGGGCCUAGGAGUCUAUGUCAGUUGCGAGCUUAAGCGUUUACGACGUGGAGGCGAAGCGAAAGCGAGUCUGAAUAGGGCGGUAGUAACUGGGAUAGAACCCGAAGCGGAGGCGAUCUAGCCAUGGCCAGGCUGAAGCAUCGGUAACACGAUGUGGAGGGCCGAACCCAUUAACCUUGAGAAGUUAAGGGAUGAGCUGUGGUUAGGAGUGAAAGGCUAAUCAAGCCCCGUAAUAGCUGGUUCUCUCCGAAAUAUAUUUAGGUAUAGCGUCAAAUGCUGAUUACCGGGGGUAAAGCACUGAAAAGGCUAGGGUUCACACCAGAAUACCGAACCUUAUCAAACUCUGAAUACCGGUGAGUGGAAUUUGGCAGUCAGUCAGUGGGGGAUAAGCUUCAUUGGCGAGAGGGAAACAUCCCAGACCAUCGAAUAAGGUCCCAAAGAUAGUGCUAAGUGGUAAGAAGGAUGUAAGUUUUCAUAGACAAUGGGGAUGUUGGCUUAGAGGCAGCCAUCAUUUAAAAAGUGCGUAAUAGCUUACCCAUCGAGAGAAUUUGCGCCGAAAAUGAUCGGGACUAAGUACUACACCGAAUUUGUGGAAUUAGUAAUAAUUGGUAGGAGAGCGUUCCAACAUCGUAGAAGGCGGAGCGGUGAGCGACGUUGGAGAGGUUGGAAGUGAGAAUCUAGGCAUGAGUAACGAAAAGCAUGGUUAAAAUCCAUGCCGCCGUAAGGAUAAGGUUUCCUGGGGAAGGUUCGUCCGCCCAGGGUUAGUCGGGAGCUAAGGCGAGGCCGUAAGGAGUAGUCGAUGCACAACGGGUUAAUAAUCCCGUACCGGCUUGGUAAUGUUUGAGUUGCAUAUUGACGGAUGAGUGGAUGCUGGCGAGGUGAUGAACGUCCUCGUCUAAGGUGUUGUAAGGCACUGAUGGGACUUUGAGGCUACGGCCGAGGGGGAUCAGCAAUAGCUAAUUCCAGGAAAAUUUAUGCAAUUAAUUAUCAGGUUGCCCGUACCGCAAACCGACACAGGUAUCCGGGAUGAGUAUUCUAAGGCGCGUGAGUUAAAUCUCUCCAAGGAACUCGGCAAAAUGGCCCCGUAUCUUCGGUAGAAGGGGUGCCAACGCGAGUUGGUCUCAGUAAAGAGGCCCAACCGACUGUUUAUCAAAAACACAGCUCUCUGCCAAGUCGCAAGACAACGUAUAGGGAGUGACAUGUGACCAAUGCGGAAAGGUGAAAACUGCUUGUGAAAGCUUGUGGUCUAAGCCCCCGUGAAUGUCGGCCGUAACUAUAACGGUCCUAAGGUAGCGAAAUUCCUUGUCGGGUAAGUUCCGACCUGCACGAAUCAUGUAACGAGUUGGGUGCUGUCUCAGGGAGAAGCUCAGUGAAAUUGUAGUCGCGGUUAAGAUGCCGCGUACCCGCAGAAGGACGGAAAGACCCUAUGAACCUUUACUGUAAACUGAUAUUGUCGUUUGAUUUUUAAUACGUAGGAUAGCCGGGAGGCUAUGAGUUGUCACUCCAGGGUGAUGAUGAGCCGCAAUGUGAAAUACCGGUUUUUAACUAUUAGGCGUCUAACCACAUACCGUGAGCCGGUUGUGGGACAGUGUUAGUGGGUCAGUUUGACUGGGGCGGUCUCCUCCUAAAAAGUAACGGAGGACUGCGAAGGUUCCCUCAGACCGGAUGGUAAUCGGUCGUCGAGGAUAUGGCUAAAAGGGAGCUUAACUGUGAGACCUACAAGUCGAGCAGAUGGGAAACCAGGCCCAAGUGAUCCGGCGAUAGCUCGUGGGAGCGUCGUCGCUUAUGGGACAAAAGGUACUCUAGGGAUAACAGGCUGAUUUCGCCCAAGCGUUCAUAGCGACGGCGAAGUUUGGCACCUCGAUGUCGGCUCAUCACAU